Molecule: transfer RNA, 69 nt
Filed under: Trachypeplus jacobsoni
Lineage: Eukaryota; Metazoa; Arthropoda; Insecta; Hemiptera; Tingidae
Description: tRNA-Ser
Rfam family: tRNA
About the family: Transfer RNA (tRNA) molecules are approximately 80 nucleotides in length.
Source: RNAcentral
AGUUAAUUAGCUUAAUUAAAGCAUAUACUUUGAAAGUAUAGUAUGUAGGUUUGAAUCUUAUAUUGACUU